AAAUUAUGAAAUAAAAAAAAAAAAAAAGUAAAUGCGAGUAAGUAAAAAAUAGCAUUCAUAUAUAUACAAUUAUAAUGUAUAUAGUCUAAAACAAAACAAAAUUAUAUGUAUAGAAAUUAUUAUUAAACUGAAAUAAUAAUAAAAUUGUUAGUUUUUUUAUAAAAUUGUGUUAUUGAAAAUAUAAGCCAUACAUAUACAUAUAUAUAUAUAUAUAUAUAUAUAUAUAUAUAUAUAUAUUUAAUUAUACAAUUGUAUAUGUACAUAUAUUUACCAUUUUUAAACGCGCAAUUCUGAAAGGUUUUUAUGUUUAAUAAAUGGAGUAACGAAAAAAAUAUAUUGUAAACAACUGAUGAGUUAUAAACAUAUAUAUAAUUAUAUAUUAGCUUAUGUUUAUUCUUUUUUCUCCAUAUCUAAAAUAGUUAUUUUAAAAGCUAUAUAUAUAUAUAUAUUUUAGUAUAUAUAAUAUAUUUUUGAAUGCUCAGCUAAUUUUUUUACAUGUAGAUUACGAAAAAAAAAGAAAAAAAAAAAAGCGUGUUUGUAUAUUUGAAAAAAAAAAAUGAAUUUAUUUAUUUAUUUAUAAAAAACAAUUUUUUUUUUACCUUUUUUAUACAAAGUUAUAUUGCAUAUAUAUAUAUACACGAACAAAUGUACAUAUAAAUAUGUACAUAUAUAUAUAUAUAUAUAUAUAUAUAUAUAUAUAUAUAUAUAUGAAUAUACUAUGUAUAUAUACAUAUUUAUAGCAUUGUAGUUAGCACCCUAAUUUUAUAUAUAAUCAUUUGGGAGUACUACUGGAAGUCAUAGCUUAUUAACAACUUUGUUUUAUUAGGUUUAAAAAAUAAAUCACUAUAUUGUUAUAUAUAUAAAAAAAAAAAAUAAAAUAAAAUAAAUAAAAGUGCUAUAAGUUGUGAAAAAUAAGGAAGCUUAUUUAUAUUUAUGUAAAGAGAAAAAAAAAUGAAUUAUCAAAAUUUGAAAUGUUCGGAAUUAAAAGAUUUGUUAGCCAAAAGAGGUCUACCAUCACAUGGGAAAAAGAAUGAAUUGUUAGAAAGAUUAUUAAAACAUGAAGAAAAUAGUUUAAACCCAGUAAAGUCGUAUGCAAAAGAUAGUAAUAAUAAUUCUAACAACAAUACAAACAAUUCUUUAUCGGAAAAAAACAUAUCAAAUAAAAAUAUAAAUUUAAAAGAAAAAACAGAAGAUUCUUGUACAAAAGAAUUUGAAGGAAACCAUAAUAUAAAUUAUAUAGAAAGUGAAAAAAAAAAAAUAAAAUAUCAGUGAAUGAAAAAGAAUUUAACAAAAGUGGGUUAAGCAGAAUGAAAGGGUUAUUUAAAAAUAUAUUAACCAGUAAUAGUAAUACAAAAGAUUCAAAGGAUUAUGAACAAUCUGGAUUGAAAAAUGAUAGUACAAUGAGAAAAAACGAAAAUAUGAAUAAUAAUCAAGGGGGAAGAAAAUAUAUAGAAAAUAAUAAUGAAGAAAAUGGUAAAAAAACGGCUAUACCAGUAAUAACGUUCUCGAAAGAAUCUAUAUGUAAUCAGAGCAUUUUACAAACAAAUACUACUAUAAGUACAAAUUAAAAUAAAAUAAAAAAAAAAAAAAAAAUAUAUAUAUAU
Molecule: long non-coding RNA, 1604 nt
Organism: Piliocolobus tephrosceles (Ugandan red Colobus)
Lineage: Eukaryota; Metazoa; Chordata; Mammalia; Primates; Cercopithecidae
Source: Ensembl